ACCUUGCUCAGCAGGUACAGGUCCAGCACUUUUCUCUCCACGUGAGGAAGGCGCAGUUUGCAGCCCUGGAGCUCCCAGAACUUGGCGAUCUGGUCGAGGAAGUUGAGCUUGACUCUGGUGAGGGCCUGAAGAGAGACACGAGGUGAGAACAAACACAGCUUCUGUCACAGGACUGAGAGACUGAACUCACCUCCAGCUCAUUGAGCCGCUGGAUUCGAGGAGUGAAGCGGAAACUGCGCACGUCGCAGGCGAAGGGAGGCUGCCAGCCCUACAACACACACACACACAGCAGCUAUGAGUCUGAACAGAGCAGCAUUCACACACACUUUAACCAGAGCCACCUAUACUGCAUUCUGACAUCUGACCCCAUCACUUCAGCAUUAAAAUAAUGGCAACAUUAAAAUCCAUGUAAUAAACUACCAAAAACAUGAUAAAACAACAUUGAAAAAACAAAUACAUAAAAAUGACAAAAAUACCAAAAAUUACUCAAACUUUAAAUUUAAACAGCAGUUGGAUCUGUUGUUUUACUAUGUUUUACUGUGUUUUACUAUGGUAAAUCUCUGGUGUGUACUGUGUUUUACUAUUGUAAAUCUCUGUUGUUUUACUGUGUUUUACUAUUGUAAAUCUCUGGUGUUUACUGUGUUUUACUAUGGUAAAUCUCUGGUGUUUACUGUGUUUUACUAUGGUAAAUCUGUGUUUUACUAUGGUAAAUCUCUGUUGUUUUACUGUUUUACUGUGGUAAAUCGCUGUUACAGUACCUGCGGUGGUCGAAGCUGGUGUUUUACUUUGUUUUACUAUGGUACAUCUCUGGUGUUUACUGUGUUUUACUAUGGUAAAUCGCUGUUAAAGUACCUGCGGCAGUCGGAUCUGGUGUUUUACGGUGUUUUACUAUGGUAAAUCUCUGGUGUUUUAUUGUGUUUUACUAUGGUAAAUCUCUGGGGUUUACUGUGUUUUACUAUGGUAACUCUCUGGUGGUUUAAUGUGUUUUACUAUGGUAAAUCUCUGUUGUUUUAUUGGGUGUUACUAGGGUAAAUCUCGGGUGUUUACUGUGUUUUACUAUGGUAAAUCUCUGUUACAGUACCUGCGGUAGUCGAAUCUGGUGUUUUAUUAUGGUAAAUCUCUGUUGUUUUACUGUGUUUUACCAUGGUAAAUCUCUGGUGUUUACUGUGUUUUACUAGGGUAAAUCUCUGGUAUUUACUGUGUUUUACUAGGGUAAAUCACUGGUUGUUUAAUGUGUUUUACUAUGGUAAAUCUCUGUUGUUUACUGUGUUUUACUAUGGUAAAUCGCUGUUACAGUACCUGCGGUGGUCGAAGCUGGUGUUUUACUUUGUUUUACUAUGGUACAUCUCUGGUGUUUACUGUGUUUUACUAUGGUGAAUCUCUGGUGUUUACUGUGUUUUACUAUGGUGAAUCUCUGGUGUUUACUGUGUUAAAUCGCUGCUACAGUACCUGCGGCGGUCGGAUCUUGCAGAUGCCCGUGUUCUCGGCGAUCUCUCGGAUCCUGCGGAUGAAGCUGAACGGAUCGCUGAAGUCCUGCCAGCUGGGCUCGAACACCGGACACUCCGGCGGAGCCUGAAACUCGCGGAAGAGCGCCAUAAGUGACCACUGCGCCACGGGCCGAGCGUCAGAUCAUGAUCACGGGUCGAAUCCUGUCUGCGUUCGUCAGCGGCUCAUUGCUCGGGACACAAACACGAGAGUUCAGCUGGGGGUGCUUGUUUAUUACGCGAACAAAAGUAGCUGCCGCUUCCGGUCACUUCCACUCACUUCCGCGCUCGUUUCUCUGCAUUCCACGCCUCAGUCGCCUUCAGCGAUCAUAUCCGUCAGUAAUCCGAGGGAUCCAGCGGGUUUAGUUCUGUAAUAAUCAGACUGUGCUCAAACAAUCGCUGGUAGCAUCUUCCGCUAGCCUCCGCGCAAAUGUUUCCGGAAGUGUAACCUUUCACCUUCCGCUGUACACGCUAGGAAAAGGUGCAUACCGCCACUUACUGUGUGGGAGUGUGUAACGACUAUAGAAUAUAAGACUAUAGAAUACCUUAAAGAGACUUUGGUAACAUCAUGACUUCAUUGUGAUCUUAAAUUCUUCUAAUUAAGCCACUUUCUUGCACAAUAAAUAAAUAAAUAAAGUCA
Molecule: long non-coding RNA, 2124 nt
Organism: Cyprinus carpio (common carp)
Lineage: Eukaryota; Metazoa; Chordata; Actinopteri; Cypriniformes; Cyprinidae
Source: Ensembl